Molecule: ribosomal RNA, 371 nt
Filed under: uncultured bacterium
Lineage: Bacteria
Description: bacterial SSU rRNA
Rfam family: Bacterial small subunit ribosomal RNA
Source: RNAcentral
GUAGGUGGCAAGCGUUGUCCGGAUUUACUGGGCGUAAAGAGCGCGCAGGCGGUCGUUCAAGUCGCGUGUGAAAGCCCCCGGCUCAACUGGGGAGGGUCACGCGAUACUGAUCGACUCGAAGGCAGGAGAGGGAAGUGGAAUUCCCGGUGUAGUGGUGAAAUGCGUAGAUAUCGGGAGGAACACCAGUGGCGAAGGCGACUUCCUGGCCUGUUCUUGACGCUGAGGCGCGAAAGCUAGGGGAGCAAACGGGAUUAGAUACCCCGGUAGUCCUAGCCGUAAACGAUGGACACUAGGUGUUGGUGGUAUCAACCCCGCCAGUGCCGAAGCUAACGCAUUAAGUGUCCCGCCUGGGGAGUACGGCCGCAAGGSUA